GAGAUAUCACUGGAGACUGAAAUGCUCUGUUUAUCCACAGAACAGAUACAGCCUGGGAAGCGUCAGUGUAAUGUGCCAGUAUGCCUAAACCCUGAACUGGAGGGACCACCGCUAAGAAUGAGAGGUUAGUUUGGUUUCUGCUUUUGCCUCUGGAGGUCACCACC
This 164-nucleotide small RNA is filed under the name Phascolarctos cinereus (koala). Its description in RNAcentral is "TUC338 (ENSPCIG00000004395.2)". The record is from RNAcentral. Lineage: Eukaryota; Metazoa; Chordata; Mammalia; Diprotodontia; Phascolarctidae.